CAAAGCAUUGUCCCGUCUCUUCAUCGGCUUCCUCACCCCCAUAUUCUCCUCCAUCUGAUACACCAGCCACCGUAGCCGCCGCCAUGGGUAAGUAGGAGGUGUCAACAGCCUUGGAAAUCAAGUUUCAAAUUUGGUGAUUCCCCAAAGCUAUGAAGCUAGAGCUGGAACCCUAGAAUCAGGAGCUGGAACUCUAGAAAUCUGGAGGUGGCAAGUCUAGUACCUAUAUGGUUCCUUGAGUUGCUAGAUACAUAGAUAAACAAGGGAGAGAGAGAAAAAGAGGGUUUUGGUAUCUUAGAAGUGGAGGAGUAAAAAGUCAGGAACUUGUUUUCAUCCGGAUACUUAACGUGAAAAUCAAUCGAGGUGACAAAUAAAUAAGUUUGAAGUUAUUUUACUGCAAGG
This is a long non-coding RNA of Rosa chinensis, 399 nucleotides long. RefSeq lists it as uncharacterized. NCBI's taxonomy places the organism in Eukaryota, Viridiplantae, Streptophyta, Magnoliopsida, Rosales, Rosaceae. The record is from RefSeq and is a predicted model, not a curated record. The transcript has 4 exons.